RNAcentral lists this ribosomal RNA (485 nucleotides) under uncultured bacterium. RNAcentral describes it as "partial 16S ribosomal RNA". It matches the Rfam family "Bacterial small subunit ribosomal RNA", at positions 28 to 507 of the family's 1533-position model. The record is from RNAcentral.
AUUGAACGCUGGCGGCAUGCCUUACACAUGCAUGUCGAACGGCAGCGGGCCCUUCGGGGUGCCGGCGAGUGGCGAACGGGUGAGUAAUGCAUCGGAACGUACCCGGGAGAGGGGGAUAACCGGCCGAAAGGCUGGCUAAUACCGCAUGAACUCGGAAGAGCAAAGCGGGGGACCUUCGGGCCUCGCGCUCUCGGAGCGGCCGAUGUCCGAUUAGGCUAGUUGGUGGGGUAAAGGCCCACCAAGGCGACGAUCGGUAGCGGGUCUGAGAGGACGAUCCGCCACACUGGGACUGAGACACGGCCCAGACUCCUACGGGAGGCAGCAGUGGGGAAUCUUGGACAAUGGGCGCAAGCCUGAUCCAGCAAUGCCGCGUGGGUGAAGAAGGCCUUCGGGUUGUAAAGCCCUUUCGGCGGGGAAGAAAUCGGUCAGGCGAAUAGUCUGGCCGGAUGACGGUACCCGCAGAAGAAGCACCGGCUAACUACGUG